Long non-coding RNA from Cebus imitator (Panamanian white-faced capuchin), 1121 nucleotides. RefSeq lists it as uncharacterized. NCBI's taxonomy places the organism in Eukaryota, Metazoa, Chordata, Mammalia, Primates, Cebidae. The transcript has 3 exons. The record is from RefSeq and is a predicted model, not a curated record.
CUUCAGUGAUGACCGUCUUUUUAAAGCCAUAGGUUUCCUUUAACUGUCGGGAGUCUACAGAUAUUCUCGACAUUCCAAAUGUAGGAUCUGGCCAGAUGAAAGGAAAGAGGCAACCGAUUAGGGAGAAGAUGGACUGUUGUUUUGAAAGAUGGAACAUCUCAGGAUGGGGAAACAUUUGGUGAGCACCAUAUUGGAUUCUACCAAAUUAUGUUCCAGGCUGCUUUCAUCUGCUACUUACAAAACCAACAAGUAAAACAAACAAACAAAAACCCAAAACUAAACAAAAAACAACAAAUGCCAAAGAAUACUCACAGAACUACCAAAUGAUUCCCUGAGCCCCUGAAUCAGAGGGAGCUGAAUCAUUCUGGCUGCUGAGUGCAGGGUGUUGGGAAAAAGUGCCAUUGUGUAAGUUAAGGAAAGGGUCAGAAAAUCCAAAAGACAGCAGAGGUGUUAAACAGCUUCUGUGCUGGGAUUCUCCUUUUAAGCUAUCCGAAGGCACAAAUCAAGAAUUGCAACCUUGGAGAUGUAACAAAUGAACCCAAUUCUGGUGUCGUGUUUUAUUUUAAAGUGAAAUUCCACUGUUUCCCAAGAGUUUGCACAUGAAGCUUUACAUAUUUUUCAUGUCAGCCCCCUUCCCUGCCACCUUUGUUUUCCAGCCUGCCUCCCCCAUAACAGCUGGACACAUCACGGUUCCAUUUUUCUAUUGGUUGUGACUGAAGUAGCUUGAGGUCAAUUAUUUCCCCAGCAAUUGACAAAGAAUCUUGAUGAAGAGGAAAGUGACAUUGUCCCUUGAACAACACUGCUCCCUCCUCCCCCUGCCCUCCUGGCUGAGAGGAGAGAGCAGGGCGGACUUUCCUUUUGCAAGGAGCCCAGCAGGGCGGUGGCGGUGGGGUCUGUGGAAGUGCGUGGGUAACAUAUGGUAAGUGGAGAAAAUAUUUAUAUUCAUGGUGAAAGAGCAGGAGAAGAUCCAAAGAAGGUCAUUCCACAGAGAUUUCAAGAGACACUGACUUGAUAUUGUGUCUUUGACCUGGAUACAACAGAGAAUUUAAAGAAAGAGUUUGCUUUUGUUGCUUUCCUGCCACCGUCACUCCCAACAAUCCGAAUUAUUGGCAAUUCAAAAA